UGGGGAAUAUUGCACAAUGGGCGCAAGCCUGAUGCAGCCAUGCCGCGUGUAUGAAGAAGGCCUUCGGGUUGUAAAGUACUUUCAGUCGGGAGGAAGGUGGUAAGGUUAAUAACCUUAUCAAUUGACGUUACCGACAGAAGAAGCACCGGCUAACUCCGUGCCAGCAGCCGCGGUAAUACGUAGGUGGCAAGCGUUGUCCGGAUUUAUUGGGCGUAAAGCGAGCGCAGGCGGUUGAUUGAGUCAGAUGUGAAAUCCCCGGGCUUAACCCGGGAAUUGCAUCUGAUACUGGUCAGCUAGAGUCUUGUAGAGGGGGGUAGAAUUCCAUGUGUAGCGGUGAAAUGCGUAGAGAUGUGGAGGAAUACCGGUGGCGAAGGCGGCCCCCUGGACAAAGACUGACGCUCAGGUGCGAAAGCGUGGGGAGCAAACAGG
This 429-nucleotide ribosomal RNA is filed under the name Chloroflexota bacterium. RNAcentral's name for it is "Chloroflexi bacterium partial 16S ribosomal RNA". It matches the Rfam family "Bacterial small subunit ribosomal RNA", at positions 355 to 776 of the family's 1533-position model. The record is from RNAcentral. Lineage: Bacteria; Bacillati; Chloroflexota.